RNAcentral lists this ribosomal RNA (499 nucleotides) under uncultured bacterium. RNAcentral describes it as "partial 16S ribosomal RNA". It matches the Rfam family "Bacterial small subunit ribosomal RNA", at positions 28 to 507 of the family's 1533-position model. The record is from RNAcentral.
GACGAACGCUGGCGGCGUGCCUAAUACAUGCAAGUCGAGCGGACUGAAUGGGAGCUUGCUCUUGUUCGGUCAGCGGCGGACGGGUGAGUAACACGUGGGCAACCUGCCCGCAAGACCGGGAUAACUCCGGGAAACCGGAGCUAAUACCGGAUAACACCGAAGACCGCAUGGUCUUUGGUUGAAAGGCGGCGCAAGCUGCCACUUGCGGAUGGGCCCGCGGCGCAUUAGCUAGUUGGUGAGGUAACGGCUCACCAAGGCGACGAUGCGUAGCCGGCCUGAGAGGGUGACCGGCCCCACUGGGACUGAGAAACGGCUCAGACUCCUACGGGAGGCAGCAGUAGGGAAUCUUCCGCAAUGGGCGAAAGCCUGACGGAGCGACGCCGCGUGAGCGAAGAAGGCCUUCGGGUCGUAAAGCUCUGUUGUGAGGGACGAAGGAGCGCCGUUUGAAGAAGGCGGCGCGGUGACGGUACCUCACGAGGAAGCCCCGGCUAACUACGUG